GGCUCUUUGUGGUUAAAGGAUAAUGAGUCGGGCCUGCCCGGUGACCUGAUGGGUUAAACGGCUGCAGUAAAUUGACUGUACAAAGGUAGCGUAGUAAAAUGUUCUUUAAUUGGGGACCUGUAUGAAUGGCUUGACGAGGGUGCGUCUGUCUUUUUGUUGAUGUAUAGAGAAGUUAUGUUCUAGGUGAAAACACCUAGUUUCCAUUAAGGGACGAGAAGACCCUGUUGAGCUUAAGUGGAGUCAGGUAGUGGGUUAAGUGUUUAGUGGCUAUAUCUGCUACUUGGUGAUAUCUUUGGUUGGGGCAACCGAGGGGCAAGAAAAACCCCCUCUUGUUUGGUUGGGCUUGUUGGUUAUAGAUCCAGCUGGUUUGCGUGUCAUGUGUGGUUGUGGUGUGUAGAUUUGUGUGCUGAUUGUUAGGAAAGUUACCACAGGGAUAACAGCGCCAUCUUUUUGGAGAGUUCUUAUUGAUAAAGGGGUUGCGACCUCGAUGUUGGACUAAGAUGUCCUGGAGGUGUAGAGGC
RNAcentral lists this ribosomal RNA (521 nucleotides) under Hemitoma octoradiata. Its description in RNAcentral is "partial large subunit ribosomal RNA". It matches the Rfam family "Bacterial large subunit ribosomal RNA", at positions 1817 to 2562 of the family's 2925-position model. Lineage: Eukaryota; Metazoa; Mollusca; Gastropoda; Lepetellida; Fissurellidae. The record is from RNAcentral.